UAUGUCGGUCGUGCUUCGGUACGUACUGUCAUUAUUGGUUUCUCCCUUCUGAAGAACCUUGAUGUCAUUAAUUUGGUGUCUUGGGGAAUCAGGACUGUACUUGAAAAAUUAGAGUGUUAAAGCAGGCUCGCGCUUGAAUACAUUAGCAUGGAAUAAUGAAAUAGGACGUUUGAUUCUAUUUUGUUAGGUUUCUAGGAUCGACGUAAUGAUUAAUAGGGAUAGUUGGGGGCAUUAGUAUUCAAUUGUCAGAGGUGAAAUUCUUGGAUUUAUUGAAGACUAACUACUGCGAAAGCAUUUGCCAAGGAUGUUUUCAUUAAUCAAGAACAAAAGUUAGGGGGAUCGAAGACGAUCAGAUACCGUCGUAGUCUUAACCAUAAACUAUGCCGACUAGGGAUCGGAUGAUGUUAAUUUUUUUAAUGACUCAUUCGGCGCCUUACG
Molecule: ribosomal RNA, 438 nt
Filed under: uncultured Glomus
Lineage: Eukaryota; Fungi; Glomeromycota; Glomeromycetes; Glomerales; Glomeraceae
Description: SSU rRNA
Rfam family: Eukaryotic small subunit ribosomal RNA
Source: RNAcentral